AGAAUCAACGCUGGCGGCGUGCCUAACACAUGCAAGUCGAACGAGAAAGUGGAGCAAUCCAUGAGUAAAGUGGCGCACGGGUGAGUAACACGUGACUAACCUACCCUUGAGUGGAGAAUAACUUCGGGAAACCGAGGCUAAUACCGCAUAACACCUACGGGUCAAAGGAGCAAUUCGCUUAAGGAGGGGGUCGCGGCAGAUUAGUUAGUUGGCAGGGUAAUGGCCUACCAAGACGGUGAUCUGUA
RNAcentral lists this ribosomal RNA (245 nucleotides) under uncultured bacterium. RNAcentral's name for it is "partial small subunit ribosomal RNA". It matches the Rfam family "Bacterial small subunit ribosomal RNA", at positions 26 to 285 of the family's 1533-position model. The record is from RNAcentral.